Molecule: ribosomal RNA, 545 nt
Filed under: Trichoderma hamatum
Lineage: Eukaryota; Fungi; Ascomycota; Sordariomycetes; Hypocreales; Hypocreaceae
Description: eukaryotic LSU rRNA
Rfam family: 5.8S ribosomal RNA (bases 141-294)
Source: RNAcentral
UGCCUCGGCGGGGUCACGCCCCGGGUGCGUCGCAGCCCCGGAACCAGGCGCCCGCCGGAGGGACCAACCAAACUCUUUUCUGUAGUCCCCUCGCGGACGUUAUUUCUUACAGCUCUGAGCAAAAAUUCAAAAUGAAUCAAAACUUUCAACAACGGAUCUCUUGGUUCUGGCAUCGAUGAAGAACGCAGCGAAAUGCGAUAAGUAAUGUGAAUUGCAGAAUUCAGUGAAUCAUCGAAUCUUUGAACGCACAUUGCGCCCGCCAGUAUUCUGGCGGGCAUGCCUGUCCGAGCGUCAUUUCAACCCUCGAACCCCUCCGGGGGGUCGGCGUUGGGGACCUCGGGAGCCCCUAAGACGGGAUCCCGGCCCCGAAAUACAGUGGCGGUCUCGCCGCAGCCUCUCCUGCGCAGUAGUUUGCACAACUCGCACCGGGAGCGCGGCGCGUCCACGUCCGUAAAACACCCAACUUCUGAAAUGUUGACCUCGGAUCAGGUAGGAAUACCCGCUGAACUUAAGCAUAUCAAUAAGCGGAGGAAAAGAUACCAACG